GCCUGGUGAGCUCAGCUGGAAGAGCAUUCGCCCGACAAGCGAAGGGUCCCAGGUUCGAAUCCUGGUCUAGUCC
This is a non-coding RNA of Vollenhovia emeryi, 73 nucleotides long. NCBI's taxonomy places the organism in Eukaryota, Metazoa, Arthropoda, Insecta, Hymenoptera, Formicidae. The record is from the annotation of a RefSeq genome assembly.